This is a small nucleolar RNA of Lathyrus oleraceus (garden pea), 107 nucleotides long. The record is from RefSeq and is a predicted model, not a curated record. Lineage: Eukaryota; Viridiplantae; Streptophyta; Magnoliopsida; Fabales; Fabaceae.
AGACCGUGAUGUGGACAUAUCCUCAUCAUGUCCUGGUAUCUCUCCCACGCUUCGUAGAGAGAUUAUACAUCUUUUUGUCGGAAUCCGUUGAUUUGAGCUCUCAGCAU